RNAcentral lists this ribosomal RNA (559 nucleotides) under uncultured bacterium. RNAcentral describes it as "bacterial SSU rRNA". It matches the Rfam family "Bacterial small subunit ribosomal RNA", at positions 335 to 885 of the family's 1533-position model. The record is from RNAcentral.
ACUCCUACGGGAGGCAGCAGUGGGGAAUCUUGCGCAAUGCGCGAAAGCGUGACGCAGCAACGCCGCGUGUGGGAAGACGGCCUUCGGGUUGUAAACCACUUUCAGUUGGGACGAAGGGUGGUCCGUUAAUAGCGGUUCUACUUGACGGUACCUUCACAAGAAGCCCCGGCUAACUACGUGCCAGCAGCCGCGGUAAUACGUAGGGGGCAAGCGUUGUCCGGAAUCAUUGGGCGUAAAGCGCGUGUAGGCGGGUCGGUAAGUCUGCUCUGAAAGUCCAAGGCUCAACCUUGGGAUGCGGGUGGAUACUGCCGACCUCGAGUCCGGAAGAGGCGAGUGGAAUUCCUGGUGUAGCGGCGAAAUGCGCAGAUAUCAGGAGGAACACCAAUGGCGAAGGCAGCUCGCCGGGACGUGACUGACGCUGAGACGCGAAAGCGUGGGGAGCAAACAGGAUUAGAUACCCUGGUAGUCCACGCCGUAAACGAUGGGCACUAGGUGUGGGAGGUGUCGACUCCUUCCGUGCCGAAGCUAACGCAUUAAGUGCCCCGCCUGGGGAGUACGG